AAUUGAUUAUGAGGUGCUUGCACUGAAUGAGAUUUUAAUAUGAAGUGAGUGGCGGACGGGUGAGUAACACGUGGGUAACCUGCCCAGAAGCAGGGGAUAACACCUGGAAACAGAUGCUAAUACCGUAUAACAGAGAAAACCGCCUGGUUUUCUUUUAAAAGAUGGCUCUGCUAUCACUUCUGGAUGGACCCGCGGCGCAUUAGCUAGUUGGUGAGGUAACGGCUCACCAAGGCGAUGAUGCGUAGCCGACCUGAGAGGGUAAUCGGCCACAUUGGGACUGAGACACGGCCCAGACUCCUACGGGAGGCAGCAGUAGGGAAUCUUCCACAAUGGACGCAAGUCUGAUGGAGCAACGCCGCGUGAGUGAAGAAGGGUUUCGGCUCGUAAAGCUCUGUUGUUAAAGAAGAACGUGGGUGAGAGUAACUGUUCACCCAGUGACGGUAUUUAACCAGAAAGCCACGGCUAACUACGUGCCAGCAGCCGCGGUAAUACGUAGGUGGCAAGCGUUAUCCGGAUUUAUUGGGCGUAAAGCGAGCGCAGGCGGUCUUUUAAGUCUAAU
Molecule: ribosomal RNA, 559 nt
Filed under: Pediococcus acidilactici
Lineage: Bacteria; Bacillati; Bacillota; Bacilli; Lactobacillales; Lactobacillaceae
Description: bacterial SSU rRNA
Rfam family: Bacterial small subunit ribosomal RNA
Source: RNAcentral